RNAcentral lists this ribosomal RNA (134 nucleotides) under Bacteroides sp. AR20. RNAcentral describes it as "16S rRNA. Bacterial SSU". It matches the Rfam family "Bacterial small subunit ribosomal RNA", at positions 19 to 141 of the family's 1533-position model. Lineage: Bacteria; Pseudomonadati; Bacteroidota; Bacteroidia; Bacteroidales; Bacteroidaceae. The record is from RNAcentral.
CUGGCUCAGGAUGAACGCUAGCUACAGGCUUAACACAUGCAAGUCGAGGGGCAGCAUUUCAGUUUGCUUGCAAACUGGAGAUGGCGACCGGCGCACGGGUGAGUAACACGUAUCCAACCUGCCGAUAACUCGGG